GACGAACGCUGGCGGCGUGCUUAACACAUGCAAGUCGAACGCUGAAGCCCUUUCGGGGGUGGAUGAGUGACGAACGGGUGAGUAACACGUGGGUAAUCUGCCCUGUACUUCGGGAUAAGCCUUGGAAACGGGGUCUAAUACCGGAUAGGACCUGUCCUCGCAUGGGGGUGGGUGGAAAGUUCCGGCGGUAUGGGAUGAGCCCGCGGCCUAUCAGCUUGUUGGUGGGGUAGUGGCCUACCAAGGCGACGACGGGUAGCCGGCCUGAGAGGGUGACCGGUCACACGGGGACUGAGACACGGCCCAGACUCCUACGGGAGGCAGCAGUGGGGAAUCUUGCGCAAUGGGCGAAAGCCUGACGCAGCAACGCCGCGUGGGGGAUGACGGCCUUCGGGUUGUAAACCUCUUUCGACAUCGACGAAGGGGCCCUGUUGUGGGGUUUUGACGGUAGGUGUAGAAGAAGCACCGGCUAACUACGUGCCAGCCGCCGCAGUAA
RNAcentral lists this ribosomal RNA (493 nucleotides) under uncultured bacterium. RNAcentral's name for it is "partial 16S ribosomal RNA". It matches the Rfam family "Bacterial small subunit ribosomal RNA", at positions 28 to 523 of the family's 1533-position model. The record is from RNAcentral.